Molecule: ribosomal RNA, 842 nt
Filed under: uncultured bacterium
Lineage: Bacteria
Description: bacterial SSU rRNA
Rfam family: Bacterial small subunit ribosomal RNA
Source: RNAcentral
GAGUUUGAUCCUGGCUCAGAUUGAACGCUGGCGGAAUGCUUUACACAUGCAAGUCGAACGGCAACACGUACUUCUGUCUGGUGGCGAGUGGCUGACGGGUGAUUAACACGUAGGAAUAUACCGUGAAAUCUGGGACAACUUGCUGAAACUCAAGCUAAUACCGGAUAAUCUCUGAGGAGGAAAACUGGGGACCGCAAGGCCUGGCGCUUUAAGAUUAUCCUGCGUCCGAUUAGCUAGUUGGUGGGGUAAAGGCCUACCAAGGCGACGAUCGGUAGCUGGUCUGACAGGAUGAUCUGCCACACUGGGACUGACACACGGCCCACACUCCUACGGGAGGCAGAAUUGGGGAAUAUUGGACAAUGGGGGAAACCCUGAUCCCGCAAUGCCGCGUGUGUGAUUAAGGCCCGAGGGUUGUUUUGCACUUUACGUGGGGAGGAUGGCAGAGCAGGUUAAGAGCUAGUUUUAUUGACGUUACCCGCACAAUAAGCACCGGCUAACUCCGUGCCAGCAGCCGCGGUAAUACGGAGGGUGCAAGCGUUAAUCUGGAAUUACUGGGCGUAAAGAGUGCGUAGGCGGUUAGGUAAGUUAUCUGUGAAAUCCCUGGGCUUAACCUAUGUGGUGAAAGAUAUAACUGCUUGACUAGAGUGUGGUAGAGGAUAGUGGAAUUUCCGGUGUAUGCGUGAAAUGCGUAGAGAUCGGAAGGAACACCAGUGGUCCCCGCGGCUAUCUGUACCGCUCUGACGCUGAGGCACGAAAGCGUGCGGAGCAAAAUAGAUUGGAUACCCUGGUAGUCCACGCCGUAAACUAUGUCAACUUACUGUUCUUACAUUAAAGUGAUUAGU